AAAAAUAUUGCACUCUCUAUUGUGAAAAAUAUAUGUAUGUAUACCUAAAUAAUUGUGUAAGUAGAAAAAAAAAAACCCGUAAAAACUGCAUUUAGAAACAGUUGAGUUCCCCCUCCGCUUCCUCACAAUGGUUUGACCCACCACCUGCUUUCCCAGUUCAUCUCACCUAAUGUGCACACACGAGUCAGCCAGGUUAUGGUCCCGAUUGGUACGACGUUGCUGUUGGGUACAGGCUGUCCUUCACUCCAGGUUGUGUGUGCUCUGGAUCACCUGCAUAUUUGAUGUUCGUUGAUUACGGAUAAAGCUUGCAUCUGCUUGUAAGCACAUCGUUGCUGUGGACUGCAGGGCGAAUGCGCCUUAGACCACGUUAAGACUGCACUGUUUGUUCUGCUGCUAUUUUUAUGACUGUUUGUAUUGGAUUACUUUUUGUUUUUGUUCGUCACGCUCAUGCUGGUGGUUUAGGUGAAGUGUGGUUAGUUCGAGCCGUCAUUUAAGCGAGAGGUGCCGUUAACGGUCCUGCUUAACUUCACCGGUUGUUAUAUUGCCACCAGCAGCGUGUUUGUUUUGUUUAAUGUUGAUUUGAGUUUUCUGUGUUGAAGACUCCUUUCAGCUUUAAGUUUUUUGUCCUUUUGUUAACUUGUUUUUUGUGUUUACGUUACUGUUGUCUUCACGUGUAUUGUUUGCUUUAUUUCUUCUCUUGGUUUUGUUCUUCUCUUUUAACCCCUUGCUGCUUCAUGGCAUGUCUAGGUUUGAGCUUUUUGGCACGAACCUAGUAUUUACAUCUUUCUGUCUGACCCUUGUGGCCAGUAAAUUGUCCAUUGUGUUCCCCUUUAUGGUGUGAACUUAUUCUAACACAAGGUGUUGGGUUGAAUGUGAGUUGAACUAAUAGUGUUUUUUUUUUGUUGUUGUU
Tachysurus fulvidraco (yellow catfish) is the source of this 910-nucleotide long non-coding RNA. RefSeq lists it as uncharacterized. The transcript has 3 exons. NCBI's taxonomy places the organism in Eukaryota, Metazoa, Chordata, Actinopteri, Siluriformes, Bagridae. The record is from RefSeq and is a predicted model, not a curated record.